This 74-nucleotide transfer RNA is filed under the name Borrelia hermsii. Its description in RNAcentral is "tRNA-Ala". It matches the Rfam family "tRNA". From Rfam's summary of the family: Transfer RNA (tRNA) molecules are approximately 80 nucleotides in length. Lineage: Bacteria; Pseudomonadati; Spirochaetota; Spirochaetia; Spirochaetales; Borreliaceae. The record is from RNAcentral.
GGGGGUUUAGCUCAGUUGGUUAGAGCAUCGGCUUUGCAAGCCGGGGGUCAAGGGUUCGAGUCCCUUAACCUCCA